GCUUGUUGGGGAGGAAAUGGCUCACCAAGGAAAUGACGGGUAGCUGGCCUGAAAGGAUGAUCACCCACACUGGAACUGAGACACGGUCCAGACUCCUACGGGAGGCAGCAGUGGGGAAUAUUGCACAAUGGGGGAAACCCUGAUGCAGCAACCCCGCGUGGAGGAUGACGCAUUUCGGUGUGUAAACUCCUUUUAUAGGGGAAGA
Molecule: ribosomal RNA, 205 nt
Filed under: uncultured bacterium
Lineage: Bacteria
Description: partial 16S ribosomal RNA
Rfam family: Bacterial small subunit ribosomal RNA
Source: RNAcentral